This 240-nucleotide unclassified non-coding RNA is filed under the name soil metagenome. RNAcentral's name for it is "partial contains 5.8S ribosomal RNA, internal transcribed spacer 2, and large subunit ribosomal RNA". The record is from RNAcentral.
AACUGAUACUACCUGCGGGAACCUGCGGAAGGAUCAUUAACAAAUCUGAGUUGUGGGUGUGUGGUGCGUGCAUGUGUAUGCGUCAAGUGUACACCGUGCACAAUCCGCUCGCCUACACAUUUACCCCGAGCCGGUCUAAACAGCCGGCUUUGGUUUGAGCCUUUGGGCUCAGGCGAUGGCUGUACGGGUGUAGGGAGGGGGGGAGGGGGGAGAGAGCAGCGCUGCUGCCUUUCCCUCUCU